CCACCCUUUAAUGUUUGAUGUUCUAACGUGGACCCGUGAUCCGGGUUGCGGACAGUGUCUGGUGGGUAGUUUGACUGGGGCGGUCUCCUCCUAAAGAGUAACGGAGGAGCACGAAGGUUGGCUAAUCCUGGUCGGACAUCAGGAGGUUAGUGCAAUGGCAUAAGCCAGCUUGACUGCGAGCGUGACGGCGCGAGCAGGUGCGAAAGCAGGUCAUAGUGAUCCGGUGGUUCUGAAUGGAAGGGCCAUCGCUCAACGGAUAAAAGGUACUCCGGGGAUAACAGGCUGAUACCGCCCAAGAGUUCAUAUCGACGGCGGUGUUUGGCACCUCGAUGUCGGCUCAUCACAUCCUGGGGCUGAAGUAGGUCCCAAGGGUAUGGCUGUUCGCCAUUUAAAGUGGUACGCGAGCUGGGUUUAGAACGUCGUGAGACAGUUCGGUCCCUAUCUGCCGUGGGCGCUGGAGAACUGAGGGGGGCUGCUCCUAGUACGAGAGGACCGGAGUGGACGCAUCACUGGUGUUCGGGUUGUCAUGCCAAUGGCACUGCCCGGUAGCUAAAUGCGGAAGAGAUAAGUGCUGAAAGCAUCUAAGCACGAAACUUGCCCCGAGAUGAGUUCUCCCUGAGACUUUAGGUCUCCUGAAGGAACGUUGAAGACGACGACGUUGAUAGGCCGGGUGUGUAAGCGCAGCGAUGCGUUGAGCUAACCGGUACUAAUGAACCGUGAGGCUUAACCUU
This 731-nucleotide ribosomal RNA is filed under the name Salmonella enterica. RNAcentral describes it as "partial 23S ribosomal RNA". It matches the Rfam family "Bacterial large subunit ribosomal RNA", at positions 2200 to 2925 of the family's 2925-position model. Lineage: Bacteria; Pseudomonadati; Pseudomonadota; Gammaproteobacteria; Enterobacterales; Enterobacteriaceae. The record is from RNAcentral. RNAcentral also lists the same sequence under 3 other names.